CAGGCAGCGGCAGCGCCGCGGUGUCUGUGCCACCUGAGAGGGAACGGGGGAGACCCCGGGCUUGCACCACUUGGAGGUGUCGCUGAACUGCAAGGUUUGUGAGAUGAAGGGAGGACCCCGGAGAUGCUGAACUUGGAGAUGUUGCUACCCUAAGGGCUGAUUUGGGGAAUGGCGGGGAGACCCCAGGAGUGCAGAACUUGGAGAUUUUGCUCAUCUAAGGGCUGAUCUGUGAAGGUGAAGGUGGGAAGAUCCCCGGCGUGCACAACUUGGAGAUGCGGCCAUCAGUAACGAGUCAGCCAAAUCAUCCCUAGGUUCCACAACCCAGGGGUCUCUCUGGACUCCAUAUGAAGGAGGAAACUGCUUUUAUGCAAACAAAGCCAAAGCAGACAAGAUUAGAAGGGAAACAAUAAACUGGAAAAACGGUUUUACAUUCAAGGG
RNAcentral lists this long non-coding RNA (438 nucleotides) under Sarcophilus harrisii (Tasmanian devil). RNAcentral's name for it is "lncRNA (ENSSHAG00000032059.1)". The record is from RNAcentral. Lineage: Eukaryota; Metazoa; Chordata; Mammalia; Dasyuromorphia; Dasyuridae.